GACGUCAUCUGCAGGCCCUGGAGACGCGACUGCAGUUACCGAGUUUCUAAGGCCUCGUCCCCUGACGGGAAGGCGGCGCUGGGGGGCGGCUGGGUUUACCCUUCGAGAGUCCGUGUGAGAACCGGGACACCUGUCCUGUUGAAAAGGGGGACGCAAAAGCUGAAAAUGCCCGGAAGGAUAUGGCUUCCUUGAACUGCGGGACGUGUAGCUGCAGCUGUGGGGUGGACCAUGGAAACAGAUCAGCAGGAAGAAGAGAUGGAAGCAACGCCAUGGACCUUCACGUCCUUCAGAGUGUGGGUGGGCUUUGGCUUUGCAGUGAGAGCAAGUAUCACCCAGGAUGGAGAUGGGAGGUAAUGGGUGGCCCCGACAGGUGCCUCCUACUGCUGGCAGCAAGGAGAGAGUGAAGAGGCAGAAUUUCCUUGGUCUAGACUAGUGUCUGGGUCAUGGGCAUGGCAGUGCUUGAGCUUUUGACCAGAAGCAAGUGGACAUGGAUUUGAGCUUCGGGUAAGAAGGGAGACUUCUCUCCAGGGACCAUAGGGGCUGGCAGCUGAAGAAGGUGACUUGGCCCCUCUCUAGAGGGUGAACGCAGGAUCAAUUCAAGGCCAUGAAGUGGAUGCAGCUGGGAGAGCCUGCUUGGUGCUUUUAAACCUCAACAUGUCCACCGCAAAUACCUCAAACACUGCUCACACCGUGGUAAAAUCUAGUUGCGAAAUCUGUCCUGCGGCAGCCUUCUCCAUCCCAGGCGCCCAGGCCCCAUCUCCUGGGAGCAGGCAGCUCUCCCGACCCCGCUUCAUGCCCCUCCUACAGCCCAAGGCAACUCCCUGCAACCUUGGUGAAUGAAGCACAUCCUGCUGCCCAGGCUCCUGAGCUGUUUGCCGUGUUGCGGAGAUGCAGCCUUCAGCCUUGGAUACCCACCCACUCCUCUACUUGGGCGUUGUUUUCACAGGCUGCUCUUCCCUGUAGCUUCAGAGAAGUAGGUCAAGUAGGUUAACUCGCUUUAAGGGAGAAGUGCCAGGGGUUCAAGUCACCCAGCCUGGAGGCAGGAAUCCUGGGUUCUAUUUUUGGCUUCACAGCUAAUCUGCUGUGUGACAGUCGUUAGGAGCUCAUUCUCCCCUCUGGGUCUCCCUGAGCCCUUCUCUAGGUCCCACAAUUUUUUUUUUUCCCCUGAAGCUAUAUUCCCUGGACUGUCAUAUUCUUCCCUCUUCCCUCCCUCUGGGAGGUGCUUUAAAGCCGUUGGCUGCUCAAGGCUGGCGCCCUGGGCAAGAGGGGCUGCAGUUGUUGUAGCUGAUGAGGAGGAGAUAAGAGGCUUUUCUGUAGACACAGUUGAGCUGAUGGGCUGUGUGAGGCUGGAGUGCCAGGAAACCAGACUCCUGUAACUACAGGACAGGCCCUGGUGAUGUGAUGAUGGGGAUGUGACGGGGAUGCUGAAGCCCGGAAUGCGAGUGGGGGUUCCUGCGUUUUAUGCAAUGGCUGUAGAUUUCCUCCCACUUCUAAGCCUCCCUUUCUGUGACACGCAGGGAAAUUCAGUCUCUAGUUCAUAUGGAAACUUGGGACUUCACUGUGCUGCUUGCUCUUGGCAGAGGAUAUCAUUUGAGCUGUCACAGCAGAGGACCACAUUUACCAGGGUGCACUUUGGCCAAAGAAUAGUAACCUUUCUAAGGCUUAGUUCCUCUGGCCUGACCAAACCAGUCCCAGGAGGCCCCUGGGUUCCAGUCAAGGUCAUGGGAGAGGCCCACCAUGGAUGAGGCCUGGGGGAGCAGGGUGGAAAUUAAGUGCCCAGGUAUGGUAUGGAUAGCCUGCAGCCCUCUCCAAUCCCUACCCUCCAAACCCAGUGAGGGGGGACAUGAAACAGGUGAGGCAGAGGAGCAAAUGCGGGUCAAGAAUUCCGAACUCUACUUGACUUACAGUGCAGCUGUGAUGUGCACAUUGGUGUGUGCCACGAGACAGCAUAGUGUGGUGGAAAGAAAAUGGGUUUUGAACAGAGUGUCCUGGGUUUGAAUCUCUGCUUGCCCAUGUACUAGAGAGUAGUCGAACCUCUCUGGGCCUCAAUUUCCCAGAUGUAAAAUGGGAAUAGUAGUACUUACCUUGCACGGGUGCUGAGAGAAUUCCAUGAGACGAGACAACCUGUGUAAAGUGCCUGGCAUAGGCGCAUCACAUUAGGGCACUCAGUAAAUGUGAUGUCUUUUCUACUUGCCUUCCUGUCAUACCUGUCCCCAUGUUUUGGAUUUCUGCAGCUAAAGUUAAGAAGCUUUUUAAGACAGGAAUCCCAAUUCUCACUUUGCCUCCUUUUCAUAGCUCACCUAAAUGGCUGACUUCUGUUCAGCACCUCUUCAUGGGUGCACUAUUCUGGAGAGCGAGAUCCUAGAGUUCCGACCUUCUGUUUGUUUUUUUUUUUUGUUUUGUUUUUUGUUUGGUUUGUUUGUUUUUGAGACAGAGUCUCGCUCUGUCACCCAGGCUGGAUUGCAGUGGCGCGAUCUCGGCUCACUGCAACCUCCGCCUCCCAGUUUCAAGCAAUUCUCCUGCCUCAGCCUCCCAAGUAGCUGAGACAACAGGUGCCUGCCACCACGCCCAGCUAAUUUUGUAUUUUUAGUAGAGAUGGGGUUUCACCAUAUUCACCAGGCUGGUCUUGAACUCCUGACCUUGUGAUCCACCCACCUCGGCCUCCCAAAGUGCUGGGAUUACAGGUGUGAGCCACCAUACCUGGCCAGCCCUUCUGUUCUAGACUGUGAGCCCGAAGACUGCAUUCUCUCCCAGGCUCAGUUUCCUCACAUACAUAAUGCCACCAUGAUCAACUUCUACAGCACCAUUUCCUGCAUAUAUUUUGUCUAAACACCUUGACUGCACCUCAGAGAAGCUGGGUAUGGGCCAGAUUCCUUUGCCAUUUAAUGCAUACAGCCCAGAGAACAAUGUUGUCUGCUGAGCCCCUGGCGGACAGCAGAGAAUUGGAGCCUCUUUUCAUGGUUCUCACAGGCCAUGUGACACACAGAUGGGAGAAGCUGGCAUCUGCAGGGCCAAAGGCCUCUGGCCAAGGCACCCAUACCAAAGGGGACAGACUGGCCAAAGCAGCCUUAUCCCUGUCUCCUUAGGAACCACAUUCUAGUGGGAUCUGUUUGGUGAUACAGGUUGGGAGCAUGGUGGGGAGGCCUACCCCAGGCCUGAUUGAGUCAUGAGGAUCCAGGAGCACCCUCCAAUGGCUGGUGUUAACUACAGUUGCCAGAUAAAACUUAGGUGGAAUCUGAGUUUCAGAAAACAAACAAAAAAUGUUUUUAGUAUGUCUCACAUACUGCCUGGGGCGUACAUUACAAAUCAGUCCUUAUAUAUUUGAAACUCAAAUUACAUUGGGCAUCUUGUAUUUUUAUUUUUUUUGAGACAGAGUCUCACACUGUUGCCCAGGCUGGAGUGCAGUGGCGCGAUCUCGGCUCACUGCAACCUCUGUCUCCUGGGUUCAAGUGAUUCUCCUGCCUCAGCCUCCUGGGUAGCUGAGAUUACAGGCACCUGCCACCAUGCCCAGCUAAUUUUUGUAUUUUUAGUAGAGACAGGGUUUUGCCAUGUUGGCUAAGCUUGUCUGCUAACCCUAGAGCUGACAGGAAGGCUUUUGGGUUGGGCGGUUUUAUGGGGAAAAUUCUCUAUAACAGCAUUUUUCCUUUACUCUCACAUCACAACAAUCAACGCAGAAGAGUUAUGACCAAAUGUCGGGGCGGGGUGGGGGGGCCGUUUCCCCACACAUCAAGCAGCUGGGUGUCCUCUAAUGCAGUCUGACACUGAAAAGUAGUGUCAGAUCCCACAUUGGAGGGCUCAGUCCCCAAGACUGUUCCCCCAACACCAGUUGUAAGUCCAGACCUCCAGAACUUCUGACCAACUGGCUUCAAGUUGGGGUUCCUGUGACUCCCUCUUCAGCUUCAAUUAAUUUGCUGAAGUUGUUCAGAGGGACUGAAAUUUACAAAGGUCAGAGAUGGUAGAGGAAAGAGUAUGGUAAGUGUGGUGUGCAAGCCCAUCUAGUGGGAGCACAGUUGAGGAGGGAACAGAAGGUGGAAGCCAGGUGGGAAAGGAAGUCUGGGGCCCUGUUGGGAGGACCUUGAAUGCUGUGUUGUUAUGAUAGACAGUUUUCCUCCAUGAUUCCUGGCUCAUAACUCCCAUAGCCCUUGUUACAGUCUUUUCUUGUAAUAUUGAGUGUGUUAGGCCACAGGAAACAGACUCUCUCCUUCUCCUGCCCUCCUUUCACCUGCCCCCAGGCAGGACUCUAAUCUUUCCUGGACUUUCCAAUGGUUGUUCUUAAGACCAUUCCCAGAGAGGUUCCCACCCUAUACCCCGGGGGAAGGAAUGCUGACGUUAAAAAGCUUUCAUAAAAACCCAAGAGGGCAGGGUUCAGGGAGCUUUUGGAUAACUGAACACAUCGAGGUUCCUGGAGGGUGGUGCCUGGGGGAGGGCUUGGAAGCCCUGUGCCCCUCCUCCCACACCUGAAUUGUUGUUUUUUCUUUUUCCCUUCAUGAAACUCUUCCCUGCUCCUUGUAUGUGCCUCCAUAGUCAUUAUAAGAUUUUAUGAUAAUUUUUACAUGUCUCCCCGCUCCUAAGUACCUUCCACAGUGUCUAGCAUGUCAUAGGGAGUGAUUGGUAAAUAGCUGAUAGAAAGAACAAAUUAAACUAUCAGCCUUGUGAA
RNAcentral lists this non-coding RNA (4657 nucleotides) under Pan troglodytes (chimpanzee). Lineage: Eukaryota; Metazoa; Chordata; Mammalia; Primates; Hominidae. The record is from RNAcentral.